This 401-nucleotide long non-coding RNA is filed under the name Rattus norvegicus (Norway rat). RNAcentral's name for it is "long non-coding RNA NONRATT011599". The record is from RNAcentral. Lineage: Eukaryota; Metazoa; Chordata; Mammalia; Rodentia; Muridae.
GGACCCUGCACCUCAGCUAAAUGGAACGAAGGAUGAAGAAUUUAUACAGCUGCCCCCAGUACCACCACCCCUCAUAACACCAUCAGCAACUAUUUCCAAAGAAGCAAUCCUCCAGGCCAAGUCUCAGGAGACCUCACAGAACAGCAAGGCUAAUUCAAAAGGAGCCUAAAGAUACCUUGAAGAUGGGCCUCACUCUCUCCAAUCACUGCCAGUCAGCAGUGGCGUCCAUGAAGGAGUUCUAGCGGAGACUGUCUGGCUUGAGAUAAAGGAUCAGCCAUUAAGUCGUUGGAGGCCUCGUGACCAUUCGUGAUCCGAGCAGUGACACCAAGUUCAGGCCACUUAGAGAAGCUUAAUUACAGCCUAUCUCUACUGUAUAAUUUCGUCAUCUUACUAAACGUUGC